GGGGGCAUAUCGUCAAUUGGUAGACCGCUUGCUUUGCACGUAAGAAGCUGCCGGUUCGAGUCCGGCUGUCUCCAACA
RNAcentral lists this transfer RNA (77 nucleotides) under Chloroflexota bacterium. RNAcentral's name for it is "Chloroflexi bacterium tRNA-Ala". It matches the Rfam family "tRNA". Rfam says of the family: Transfer RNA (tRNA) molecules are approximately 80 nucleotides in length. Their secondary structure includes four short double-helical elements and three loops (D, anti-codon, and T loops). Lineage: Bacteria; Bacillati; Chloroflexota. The record is from RNAcentral.